RNAcentral lists this small nucleolar RNA (89 nucleotides) under Tupaia belangeri (northern tree shrew). Its description in RNAcentral is "Small nucleolar RNA U13 (ENSTBEG00000021305.1)". It matches the Rfam family "Small nucleolar RNA U13". The record is from RNAcentral. Lineage: Eukaryota; Metazoa; Chordata; Mammalia; Scandentia; Tupaiidae.
AUCCUUUUGUGGUUCAGAAGCGGUGAUGAUUGGGUGUUCACACCUGUGCGUGACAUGUGCCUCCCUCCUGGCACAGUACCCGUCUGACG